GGAUGUGGCUCAAGUGGUAGCGCGCUCGCCUGGCAUGCGUGAGGCACUAAGUUCAAUCCUCAGCACCA
RNAcentral lists this transfer RNA (68 nucleotides) under Marmota monax (woodchuck). RNAcentral's name for it is "tRNA.Ala". The record is from RNAcentral. Lineage: Eukaryota; Metazoa; Chordata; Mammalia; Rodentia; Sciuridae.